Molecule: non-coding RNA, 1138 nt
Organism: Taeniopygia guttata (zebra finch)
Lineage: Eukaryota; Metazoa; Chordata; Aves; Passeriformes; Estrildidae
Source: RefSeq, a predicted model, not a curated record
CAAAUCAGAAGAGAAAUGGGGAACUAUCUGACGGCAAAAGUAGCAUGGAACAAAUUAACUAUUCACAACUGGGAAAUUUUCUGGCUUGUGUGGGCAGUUCAUGCCAGUCUGAUAUACAGACUCCAAGUCACUUUUGAAUAACUCUCAGCCUGAAGACCAAAGAAAAGACAGAACAGUGAAGUUUUGCACUGCGGAAUAUAUUGUUACACUGCACCAGUUACAAUUUCUCUUUAGAGGCUUUGAAACUGCACUGAAAAAUCAUGUUUGGAGAGACAAAAACAUCCCUCUACAGUUAUUACAACCACAAAGGAGCUAUAGUCAUCACCUGUAUUGCUGGCUCCUGGUUAUCCCUGUCCUGCUGGAUGGCCCUGGUUUCUGUCACUGGGCUUUCUCUGCUGAGGCAUGGUGGGACUGCAUCCAUGCCAAGGAGGACCCUGGCUGGCCCCCAUCUGUGACUCUCAGGUCCUGGCUCCCACAGCCCCAUGGGAUCAUCUCACGAUUGCAAUGUCCUCCUGGCAAUAAUGAGGGAAAGGGGAUCAUGCCAGCAAUUUUGAAAUGUGUAGGUAUGAAAAAAAGAAACAGGAACUUGUCAUGAUGGACAUUUCUAACUCCUAUCAGUUAACAUUUUCUCAUUAAAAAAGAUACUGGAGGAGAAAAAAAAAAAAAUCCUCAAUUCCAGAUUGUUCCUGUGUUGCUUUGCAUCUGCUCUACUUGACUGUUUACAUGUGGUACCUGAGAGGAAUUGUGAGAUAAACUUGAUUAAUGUUUCUAAAAAACAAAGUUGUGAAACCUGUGCUGAAGACCUUCCCAUAGAGAAGUGCAAGUAAUUUAGUCAUCAUGCAUGUUAAACAUUCUCCAAAAAGACCAUGAAUUUAGCAUAUUCUCUUUAAUUGCUUUAAUCUCUUUAAUUAUUCUAAAUCAAGCAUGAAUAUCUGAACCACUGAUUAAUUUCUUUCAUUAAGAAAUAUUUUGAUGGUCUGCACAUUUUAGAGUGUGACAUUUGGUUGAAUUAAAUGUAAACUUUACAAUUUAACUUUUUGUGAGGAAUUACAUUAGAUCUGUGUUACAGAUUGAGAAUUGAGGUACCAUCUAUUUCAUCUUGUUCCAUUCAAUAAACUGUUUUUUUCUGGAUACUGGC